AGACUUGCUAUUUGGAUCAAUACACAGGACUAGACGGGGAGCUUUUGUACGAUGUUGGAUGUAGGUCAAAAGAGGUUGGUUUUCUAUUAUUUAAUAAUAGUCAGUACAGAAUCUACAAUAAUCGUGCUAUUUUAACAAUGUAAAAACGGUAAAAUAAAAGUAAUGAGUCAUCAAGAAAAUAGGAACUCUACUUAAUUAUUAUUCAUAUUAUUAGAUUUUCUUAAACUCUAAAUUCCAUAUGUAUUUGAAGCUUUGUACUAAUGCAACACCUGGACUUCGAUCGACAGCUCAGGCAGGGACAAAGACAUGUUCUAGAUGUUGUUCCGGUGACUUGUGUAAUGCAGAAGGAUGUGGAGAAAAAGGUAUACUUUAUCUUUUUUUUACAGCAAAAUGCCUUGAUUGUGUAGGUAAAGGUAAUAUGUUUGUAAUCUCGCUUACUACCUGAACCGUGAAGUCAAUGAUACGUUAGGUAUGCUACCCUUCAUUUAGAGUAGACUAGACCAAUCUCAAUCUUCUCUGAUUGCGUUAUACUACAUAUGUAACGUAUAUAAUACUACAUACGUAUGUAGUAUAACGAAAUCAUGGAUCUAUAUUUUAAUAAUAUUGAACCAAUCUAUCUUACUGUAUGACUUCACUACUCUGAAAGGAGGCUAAUAUACCUGACCUAAUAAUGAUUUCACCGUUCAGCUAGCACGCACGCUUACCUCCAUAAGAAGCGCUCAAAAAAUCGAAAGCCAAACACUUGAAAACUGAUUUGUAAGGUUAUAUGACAAACUGGACCUACAGAGAAAAAAUAAUUAAUGCACCUAAGGUCAACUUUGGGCAUAGGAUCAUUAUUAAAGAUCGUUACAAUACAUUAAAAGACGGGGACAAUAUGAAUAUCAACCAAUUAAAACUGUUCAACCAGUCUUUCUGCUGCUCAUAAUAUAGAAUUGUCAACUAUUCAACUGUAGUAUUCUAAUAACAUUAUAGGUAUCUCUUUUUAUUCAGGUUUCCCUACGUAUAGAGGUCCUAUUUGUUAUAACUGUCAACAGGCACGGAAUCCUGAGAAGUGUGACUCGAUUACUGUAUGUGGGAGAGAUGAUGUAGGUA
RNAcentral lists this long non-coding RNA (1092 nucleotides) under Mytilus galloprovincialis (Mediterranean mussel). Lineage: Eukaryota; Metazoa; Mollusca; Bivalvia; Mytilida; Mytilidae. The record is from RNAcentral.